This 402-nucleotide ribosomal RNA is filed under the name uncultured prokaryote. RNAcentral's name for it is "bacterial SSU rRNA". It matches the Rfam family "Bacterial small subunit ribosomal RNA", at positions 355 to 774 of the family's 1533-position model. The record is from RNAcentral.
UGGGGAAUCUUAGACAAUGGGGGAAACCCUGAUCUAGACAUGCCGCGUGAUCGAUGAAGGCCUUAGGGUUGUAAAGAUCUUUCAGAUUGGAAGAUAAUGACGGUACCAUCAGAAGAAGCCCCGGCUAACUCCGUGCCAGCAGCCGCGGUAAUACGGAGGGGGCUAGCGUUAUUCGGAAUUACUGGGCGUAAAGCGCACGUAGGCGGAUUAGAAAGUCAGAGGUGAAAUCCCAGGGCUCAACCUUGGAACGGCCUUUGAAACUCCUAGUCUUGAGGUCGAGAGAGGUGAGUGGAAGUCCGAGUGUAGAGGUGAAAUUCGUAGAUAUUCGGAGGAACACCAGUGGCGAAGGCGGCUCACUGGCUCGAUACUGACGCUGAGGUGCGAAAGCGUGGGGAGCAAACA